This is a long non-coding RNA of Malania oleifera, 575 nucleotides long. RefSeq lists it as uncharacterized. Lineage: Eukaryota; Viridiplantae; Streptophyta; Magnoliopsida; Santalales; Ximeniaceae. The transcript has 2 exons. The record is from RefSeq and is a predicted model, not a curated record.
CUUCCUUCCCCUUGGUCCCUCUCUCUCUCUCUCUGCCAGUCUCUCAUUCAUCGAAGCCCCAUAUUUGUUCCUUUCGUUUCGAUGUCUGCAACUCCCAGCGUCGGACGACUAGCUUAAUCAGCUUCGUUUCAGCUGAAGACUUGCACUUUGAGAGGUUCAAAAUGUUUCAAGGCUAUGUUGGAGCAAAUCAUAUAGUUUUCUGCAGGUUUCCUACGCUUGCUCACAAAGAUAAGUUGGCUUCCUAAGAGAAGCAGAUGGUUACUUCUCCCAGUACAAAUAGGCCUGGGAGGCCUGGUAUUUCACUGCAGCGAGGACAGCUUCCUCUAUCCCAUAUGCAGUCCAUGCAGCAGCCUCAGCCGCCACAAUCUCAAAUUACUCAAGUGCAGUUUCAUGAAAAUCAAAUGAACCCUUAUUUGCAAUCAAUUAAUUUGCAAGGCUCUCUCUCUCUCUCUCUUUCUCUCUCUCUCUCUCUCUCUCUCUCUCUCUCUCUCUCUCUCUCUCUUAAUUUUAAUACAAAUAUCUUAAUUUGACUGAUUAAUUUGUUGAAGUGAGAAUUGAAUGCUCUUUAUAUUUUA